CCGCCAUGAUUGUGAGGCUUCCCCAGCCAUGUGGAAACAUAUUCGCAGAGCACCCACUAGGUGCCAGUAAAUGUAUGAGAAGUCCUGUGGAAUAAGACUGAAGUUGUCCUUGCCUUCAAGCAACUUGCAAUUGCCUAAGAACACAGUUUAAAACCACAAAACUAAGCCUUGGAAAUCACAUGCUGUCAUUUCUGCGAUCGGUCAUAACCAGUCCUGAUUCCAUGUUAGAGGAGACUACAUAAGGACACAGGUACCAGAAGGAGACUAACCAGCAUGGGCUACAUCAAAAAGGCUGCCAUCUACUUUCUGCUGGGUAGGGGCACCAGAGAGACUUGUCAGAAACUAGAAGGAAGGUAGAGUGCGAAAUCUGAGUGUUAAUUCCCUGGCUUCAUCAAAGGACACUGGUCUUCACAAGGAAACAGACUACAUGAUUCUCCUUUUGGGCUUCAGUAAAAACCCCCUCCUUUCAUCCCUUAGUCUAGGGAUGGUAAGAGGUCAGCAGCUAAGAAUUCUAGGUUCUUUGUGGUUUUCCCGUAUACAUGUCUUUGAUGAUAGCCCCUUUGGAAAUAAAUUCUCCUAGACUUUU
Molecule: long non-coding RNA, 586 nt
Filed under: Homo sapiens (human)
Lineage: Eukaryota; Metazoa; Chordata; Mammalia; Primates; Hominidae
Description: HSALNT0318670
Source: RNAcentral